Molecule: ribosomal RNA, 594 nt
Filed under: Triticum aestivum (bread wheat)
Lineage: Eukaryota; Viridiplantae; Streptophyta; Magnoliopsida; Poales; Poaceae
Description: partial small subunit ribosomal RNA
Source: RNAcentral
AUGUUGAUCAAUUUGACACAAGGUCGGGAUGUGUUUCGCUGGAACCUUACUGCAUCGGGGUCUUUCACAGUAGACUCUAUGUAUCAUGCGCUCACGCAUUCUGAGGUACCAGUGAGUAAUAACAAGAAAAUCUGGAAGUCAAAGAUUCCACUAAAAGUUAAAAUCUUCAUGUGGUAUCUUCGUAGGGGAGUUGUUCUAACCAAAGACAACCUCGCACGGCGCAACUGGCCAGGGAGUAAGAUGCGUUGUUUUUGUACUCAUGAAGAAACAAUCAAACACCUCUUUUUCCAAUGCAAGUUUGCACGUUCUACGUGGUCAGUCAUCCAAAUAGCGUCAAAUUUGUAUCCGCCCACAAGUGUCGCCAAUGUUUUUGGUCAUUGGUUGGAUGGUAUUCCAAAUAGGUUGAAAACGCUAAUAAGGGUUAUUUUCCGUUGUACGCACUCGCUUCGUACGUGGUAUACGCUACAACGAGUGGAGUACCAACCGCUGUUCAAGGCGGUGUGUAUGCGGUUGGAGCAGGUGGCUACGGAGGUUUUUACCCAACAUGGGUGGCAGCAUAAUCUCCAGAUCGGUCCACCACCCCUUUCGACAUAG